AUGAGCAGCAGAGCGCAGCAGGGCGAAAAGGGCUCCGAGUCAGCCGCCCGCACGCGGCCUCUGAGCAUCCAUGAGAUCUUGCUGCGGCGGGAGAAGAAGGCCCUCACAGAGGCUAAGAAGGCCGCCGCGGAAGCUAAGAAGGCCAGGGAAGAGCUCCAGGACAAGGAUAAGUGUAAACCUAAUCACUCGGAGCCGGGAAGAGGGCACAAGAGCAGAAAGGAUCUCAAGGAUGUGCCUGCGGAGGGUUCCAAAAAGGAGAGUGUUAGAGAUGCGUCAAGGGAGGACUCCAAGAAGGAUGAUGUGCGGCGUACUUCUAAGGAGGGUUCCAGGAAGGAGAGCAUUAGAGAUGCACCCUCCAAGAAGGAUGAUGUGAGGCAUGCAUCUAAGGAGGGUUCCAAAAAGGAGAGCAUUAGAGACGCACCAAAGGAGGUCUCCAAGAAGGAAAACUUGAAAGAGAGGCCAAAAGAUGGCUCCAAGGUGGAUGAAUUGAAAGAUACACCAAAGGUUCCAAGGAAGGAUGACCACAGAGAUGCACCAAACAAGGGCUCCAAGAAAGAGAGGUCCUCUGUAAGAGAUGAUAGUCAGUCAGCUGGCAAAGACAAUGAUGCUCGUAAUUCACAUAAACAUUGCACAAGCAUGAGAGGCCGGCCUGCUGAAAGCAAGGAUGGAAACCAUGGUGAAAUCAGAGCAAGAAAUGGUGAUGCGACAAGAUCUGAGUCUCUAAAGGGACCGGGGAAGAGAUGGAAUGGUGAACCUGUUCACAAUGAUAGAAUCAUGGAGAGGAGCGAUAAGCUCCGGAAUGAGGCAAAAAGGAAAAUCCAUGGUUUUGAUGAUGAAAAGCCUUCAUAUGUUGAUCGACCGGUGCUGAAGAAACAUGAUUCCGCGCGAUUCCGAGUUUCCAAACACUAUGACAUAAAUGAUGCAAGGAGAGAGUACGGAAAACCAUACCGUGAAGAGCCCAGGUCAAAAAGGAGAAGGUCAAGAAGCAGGGAUCAUGAUCAAGGAAGACGUGACAGAUCUCUCUCACUAUCCCCAAGGGAACAAAGGCGUAGCUACCAUGGAAAUGAUCAUGACAAUUAUCCUCCUGGAAGGAAGUAUGCUGAAAACGACAGGUACAGAACAUCUGAUAAUGUUGGACAAGGUGGUGGGUCUUACCAGAGAUAUGAAAGUCGGCUUGGUGGCUACUCACCAAGGAAAAGGAAAACAGUGCCACAAGAUGAACAAUUGACUACCACGAUUACCCCACCAGUCAUUCGAUCACCAGAAAAGAAACCAGCCACGUGGGAUCAGCCUCCCACAGCAGCAGACCAAUCUAAUUUCUUCACCAAUUUGCAGCCAAUUGUUAGUCAAACCUCUUCUGUUUCAGUCAGUUUUAGCACACCAAAGCAGAACCCUGCUACUGCGCUUGACACUAUAUUGUCAGGGAAUAGUUCGUCUAUUGAUUCUGUCCAGCUAACACAAGCAACACGCCCACUUAGGAGGUUGCACAUCGAGAAUUUAACUAGUUCAGCUUCAGAGGAUAUGUUGAUUGGUUGCUUGAAUGACUUCUUGCUGUCAUCGGGUGUUAACCGUAUCCAGAGGUCUAAACAACCAUGCCUCAGUUGUACGAUAAAUAAGGAAAAACGCCAGGCAUUUGUUGAAUUUCUUACACCAGAAGAUGCUACAGCAGCUCUUUCUUUUGAUGGAAGAUCUUUCAAUGGGUCUACUCUGAGAAUUAGACGCCCCAAAGAAUAUAUUGAAAUGGCACAUGUUGCUCAAAAGAAGCCCGUGGAAGAAGAGAUUAAAGAAGCAUCUGAUGUUGUUGCAGAUUCACCACACAAGAUUUUCAUUGCUGGUAUUUCUGGUGUUCUUUCAUCUGAGAUGCUCGUGGAAAUUGUUAGUUCAUUUGGCCAGUUAGCUGCAUACCACUUUGUUUGUAAUGAAGACCUUGGUGGGCGAUGUGCAUUUCUUGAGUAUAUUGAUCACUCCAUUACAAACAAGGCAUGUGCUGGCCUCAAUGGGAUGAAGCUUGGUGGGUGCAUCCUAACUGCUGUUCAGGUUUUUCCCAAUCCUCUCGAGGUUCGCAAUGAAGCUUCCCCAUUUUAUGGUAUUCCUGAUAGUGCCAAAGCGCUUCUUGAAGAACCAACAAAUGUCCUGCAGCUAAAAAAUGUGUUUGACCAAGAAGAGUUUUUGGCACUUUCAAAACCUGAGCUGGAGGAAAUAUUGGAAGACGUACGCAUGGAGUGUGCAAGGUUUGGAGCAGUCAAAUCCAUAAAUAUUGUAGAGUAUCCUGCUAGCAGUGACAGCAUUACUGAGGAUGUCCUAGUUGAGCCCAAAGAUGAGCCAGUAAAGCUUGAGCCCACUGAAUGUCGUGCCAAUGAUAACUGUGUGGAGACUGGAACAGAUUGCUCUUUACCAAGUAGGAGCAUAGUAGUUCCGUCCAACCCUAUGGAAAUUACAGGUGCUGAGUGCCAGGAUCACAAAGAGCUUGACACACUUCGUGAAUGUGAUGGGUCUGCAGCGGCAGAUCAGUACACCGACCUAGAUGACAUCCAUGCUAGAGCUGCUGGCCCCACAGUGGAUCAACAAACAGAGACCGAUCAUAUGGAUUCUGUGCAGGCUGAUCAAGAUGCUACUGCAGUGGGCGACAUCCAUGCUAGAGCUGCUGGCCCCACAGUGGAUCAACAAACGGAGGCCGAUCAUAUGGAUUCUAUGCAGGCUGAUCAAGAUGCUACUGCAGUGGGUGAGAUCCAUGCUAGAGCUGCUGGCACCACAGUGGAUCAACAAACGGAAGCCGAUCAUAUGGAUUUUACGCAGGCUGAUCAAGAUGCUAUUGCAGUGGAUGACAUCCAUGCUAGAGCUGCUGACCCCACAGUGGAUCAACAAACAGAGGCUUAUCAUGUGGAUCCUCUGCAGGCCGAUCAAGAUGCUACUUCAGUGGGCGACAUCCAAGCUAGGGCUGCUGGGCCCAGAGUGGAUCAGCAAACAGAGGCUGAUCAUGUGGAUUCUUUGCAGGCUGAGCAAGAUGCUACUGCAGUGGGUGACAUCCAUGCUAAUGCUGCUGGCCCCACAGACACAGUGGAUCAAGAAAUGGAGGCUGAUCAUAUGGAUUCUACGCAGGCUGAUCAAGAUGGUACUGCAGUGGACUACAUCCAAGGUAGAGCUGCUGACAUGGAUUCUACACAAACUGAUCAAGAUGCUUCUCCAGUUGGUGAAGAUAGUUUAGGAGAAGGACAUGCAGGCCCAACAACUUUGGAGGCCUGUGGUUCUACUACACCCGUAGGUGUGGUGGAGAAAUCCGAAACUGAGAAGGAGCAACAAAGCGCUGAUGAUGUGAGUGAAAGUGGUGCAGAAAAACUACCCGUUGCUCCAGUUUCAGACACCAUCGUACUGGAGGCUGGCUCUAUACUGGUGGAGUUCAUGCGGAAGGAGGCUGCAUGCAUGGCCGCACAUUCCUUACAUGGGCGCAGCUUCGGCGACAGGACCGUGUCUGCUGGAUACGCCCCUCAUGCUCUCUACCUGCAGAGGUACCCGAGGUGA
Molecule: ribosomal RNA, 3519 nt
Filed under: Triticum aestivum (bread wheat)
Lineage: Eukaryota; Viridiplantae; Streptophyta; Magnoliopsida; Poales; Poaceae
Description: partial small subunit ribosomal RNA
Source: RNAcentral